This is an RNA transcript of Pongo pygmaeus (Bornean orangutan), 6193 nucleotides long. It is a transcript of the gene named sulfatase 2, with no coding region annotated. NCBI's taxonomy places the organism in Eukaryota, Metazoa, Chordata, Mammalia, Primates, Hominidae. The transcript is spliced from 19 exons. The record is from RefSeq and is a predicted model, not a curated record.
CUACUCCCGGGCCAUUUCUGGGCAACAGCUGCUAUUUUCACUUGAGCCCAAGUUAAUUUCUCGGGGAGUUCUGGGGCGCGCACACGCAGCUCGGUUUGCCCUGCGAUUGAGCUGCGGGUCGCGGCCGGCGCCGGCCUCUCCAAUGGCAAAUGUGUGUGGUUGGAGGCGAGCGCGAGGCUUUCAGCAAAGGCAGUCGAGUGUUUGCAGACCGGGGCGAGUCCUGUGAAAGCAGAUAAAAGAAAACAUUUAUUAACGUGUCAUUACGAGGGGAGCGCCCGGCCGGGGCUGUCGCACGCCCCGCGGAACACUUGGCUCCCUCCAGCUCCGAGAGAGAAGAAAGCGGAAAAGAGGCAGAUUCACGUCGUUUCCAGCCAAGUGGACCUGAUCGAUGGCCCUCCUGAAUUUAUCACGAUAUUUGAUUUAUUAGCGAUGCCCCCUGGUUUGUGUGUUACACACACACACGCACACACGGCUCUGGCUCGCUUCUCUCCCUCGUUUCCAGCUCCUGGGCGAAUCCCACAUCUGUUUCAACUCUCCGCCGAGGGCCAGCGGGAGCGAGAGUGUGUCGGAUCUGCGAAUAAAGAGGGACGAGGGAAAAGAAACAAAGCCACAGACGCAACUUCAGGCUCCGGCAUCCCAAAAGAAGCACCAGAUCAGCAAAAAAAGAAGAUGGGCCCCCCGAGCCUCGUGCUGUGCUUGCUGUCCGCAACUGUGUUCUCCCUGCUGGGUGGAAGCUCAGCCUUCCUGUCGCACCACCGCCUGAAAGGCAGAUUUCAGAGGGACCGCAGGAACAUCCGCCCCAACAUCAUCCUGGUGCUGACGGAUGACCAGGAUGUGGAGCUGGGUUCCAUGCAGGUGAUGAACAAGACCCGGCGCAUCAUGGAGCAGGGCGGGGCACACUUCAUCAACGCCUUCGUGACCACGCCCAUGUGCUGCCCCUCGCGCUCCUCCAUCCUCACCGGCAAGUACGUCCACAACCACAACACCUACACCAACAACGAGAACUGCUCCUCGCCCUCCUGGCAGGCACAGCACGAGAGCCGCACCUUCGCCGUGUACCUCAAUAGCACCGGCUACCGGACAGCUUUCUUCGGGAAGUAUCUUAAUGAAUACAACGGCUCCUACGUGCCGCCCGGCUGGAAGGAGUGGGUCGGACUCCUUAAAAAUUCCCGCUUUUAUAACUACACGCUGUGUCGGAACGGGGUGAAAGAGAAGCACGGCUCCGACUACUCCAAGGAUUACCUCACAGACCUCAUCACCAAUGACAGCGUGAGCUUCUUCCGCACGUCCAAGAAGAUGUACCCGCACAGGCCAGUCCUCAUGGUCAUCAGCCAUGCAGCCCCCCACGGCCCUGAGGAUUCAGCCCCACAAUAUUCACGCCUCUUCCCAAACGCAUCUCAGCACAUCACGCCGAGCUACAACUAUGCGCCCAACCCGGACAAACACUGGAUCAUGCGCUACACGGGGCCCAUGAAGCCCAUCCACAUGGAAUUCACCAACAUGCUCCAGCGGAAGCGCUUGCAGACCCUCAUGUCGGUGGACGACUCCAUGGAGACGAUUUACAACAUGCUAGUUGAGACGGGCGAGCUGGACAACACGUACAUCGUGUACACCGCCGACCACGGCUACCACAUCGGCCAGUUUGGCCUGGUGAAAGGGAAAUCCAUGCCGUAUGAGUUUGACAUCAGGGUCCCGUUCUACGUGAGGGGCCCCAACGUGGAAGCCGGCUCUCUGAAUCCCCACAUCGUCCUCAACAUUGACCUGGCCCCCACCAUCCUGGACAUUGCAGGCCUGGACAUACCCGUGGAUAUGGACGGGAAAUCCAUCCUCAAGCUGCUGGACACGGAGCGGCCGGUGAAUCGGUUUCACUUGAAAAAGAAGAUGAGGGUCUGGCGGGACUCCUUUCUGGUGGAGAGAGGCAAACUGCUACACAAGAGAGACCGUGACAAGGUGGAUGCCCAGGAGGAGAACUUUCUGCCCAAGUACCAGCGUGUGAAGGACCUGUGUCAGCGCGCUGAGUACCAGACGGCGUGUGAGCAGCUGGGACAGAAGUGGCAGUGUGUGGAGGACGCCACGGGGAAGCUGAAGCUGCAUAAGUGCAAGGGCCCCGUGCGGCUGGGCGGCGGCAGAGCCCUCUCCAACCUCGUGCCCAAGUACUACGGGCAGGGCAGCGAGGCCUGCACCUGUGACAGCGGGGACUACAAGCUCAGCCUGGCCGGACGCCGGAAAAAGCUCUUCAAGAAGAAGUACAAGGCCAGCUACGCCCGCAAUCGCUCCAUCCGCUCAGUGGCCAUCGAGGUGGACGGCAGGGUGUACCACGUAGGCCUGGGUGAUGCCGCCCAGCCCCGAAACCUCACCAAGCGGCACUGGCCAGGGGCCCCUGAGGACCAAGAUGACAAGGAUGGUGGGGAUUUCAGUGGCACUGGAGGCCUUCCCGACUACUCAGCCGCCAACCCCAUUAAAGUGACACAUCGGUGCUACAUCCUAGAGAACGACACAGUCCAGUGUGACCUGGACCUGUACAAGUCCCUGCAGGCCUGGAAAGACCACAAGCUGCACAUCGACCACGAGAUUGAAACCCUGCAGAACAAAAUUAAGAACCUGAGGGAAGUCCGAGGUCACCUGAAGAAAAAGCGGCCAGAAGAAUGUGACUGUCACAAAAUCAGCUACCACACCCAGCACAAAGGCCGCCUCAAGCACAAAGGCUCCAGUCUGCAUCCUUUCAGGAAGGGCCUGCAAGAGAAGGACAAGGUGUGGCUGUUGCGGGAGCAGAAGCGCAAGAAGAAACUCCGCAAGCUGCUCAAGCGCCUACAGAACAACGACACGUGCAGCAUGCCAGGCCUCACGUGCUUCACCCACGACAACCAGCACUGGCAGACCGCGCCUUUCUGGACACUGGGGCCUUUCUGUGCCUGCACCAGCGCCAACAAUAACACGUACUGGUGCAUGAGGACCAUCAAUGAGACUCACAAUUUCCUCUUCUGUGAAUUUGCAACUGGCUUCCUAGAGUACUUUGAUCUCAACACAGACCCCUACCAGGUACAGACGACCCAAGCUAGAGAGAUGGGGGUGUGGGGUACACCAGUGUUGCCAGGUAAGCCCCCCCACAACCUCACGGAAGUGAUGACAAAUUGUCCAAGUCCCACUGAGUCCCUGAGCCAGUGGGAGUAAGUUGUGAAGCUGCUGAGAUUGGGGGUUCCGUGUUCAAUCAGCGCUUUUUGCCUCCAUCACCCUGCUUUUUGCCUCCAUCACACUGCAUGUGUAAUAUAUAUGGUUUCUUCCCUCUAACUUAACAUGCAGCAUGCAACCAGGUUUUGCCGGAACUUGUGAAGACUCUUAAAACUGUCAAGCUGUAGGAUCAAGCCAAAUAUUACCCACUGCAGGGCCUACACGGACCACGCAGCUAAUGUAACAGUAACACACUGCACCAAGCACUCUGCUAAGUGCUUCCAUACAGUAAGCCAUCUAAACACACAUGCGACUGAAGUGGCCCAGGACCACACAAGACCAAAAGGAGCAGUGGCAUGUCUGGUCAUCGGAACAUGUGGGCCCUUGUACAGGGACAGUCACUACUGAGCUCCAGCACUAGAGCUUUCCUGUACUGUGGCCUUGGUAUUGCCCAGGCUUUGACUUUUCAAGAAAAGCCUGAAAUAAUUUAAAUGAAAUCUGAUGUUUAAAUGUCAGCAGCACAAAUGCUUUCAUUACUACAUAGGCGUGCAGUCUUUCUCCUUAGAUAGGUUCACCCUCAUACUUUACCAAAGGGGUAGGUUAAGUCCGUCACCGGUAGCUCCCAGACUACACAAGAACCCAGGCCACUUACCCGUCCUUUCAUCACAUCGCUGCUUUGCAAUCAGGAGGAGCUGAGGGCCCCUGAAUGAAGGCUGCUGAUAAAAACCAAGACUUGGAAGGCUUUCUUUCCAAGCUUGGGAAGUUUCCUGACCAGUGGCUGCAGAACUCCAAUGUUAAAUACACAGACAUGGUUUUUAAGGCAUGGUUUUUAUUCUCCUGAGUUUUCAUUCUCAUGAAGAGUGAACCUGGUGGGACUUGAAGCCAAAAAGUCACCUAACUCUUCCAAACGCUGGCUCUUGCAGAAGUUGGAGUAAGCAGGUCACCAGCCCCUAGCAGCUUCCACCCGCCACCUGCCUGAAAUAUGUCCCCUAGUUGGUAGAAGAAAGGCAGGGGGAGAGUCCCUGUACUUACCUUGUUGACAGACUACCUUUUUUGCAACUAGCUGAUGAACGCAGUGAACACACUGGACAGGGAUGUCCUCAACCAGCUACAUGUACAGCUCAUGGAGCUGAGGAGCUGCAAGGGUUACAAGCAGUGUAACCCCCGGACUCGAAACAUGGACCUGGGUGAGUAGGCACCCCAACAUGGGGCCCUUGGACAGCAGGGUAACCAAAAGAAGGGACUCAGGAGGUGGUGUCUACCCAAGAAUGAGCCUGAAAUCACCAGGCUUUGAGAGGUGAUACAGUUCCAGACGAGUCAUGGGAGCCCCUGUCCAUAGCAGGCAGAUGACCUUUGACAAGCUGUGCUUCUGAGAGAGGAAUACCUGCAUCAACUGCCCAGGAGACGCACGGAAUUCCCUCUCAUUUCAUUGUCCUCCCUUUUGUUCACUCAUGCAUUCAACAAACACUUCCUGAGAACUUACACCUGAAACCAUGUUGACUAAAGAUGACCCCAUCCUCGCUGACUUGUGCGGAGCCGGUGUUGUCCUAAGAAGAGCAGUCCACAGCGGGAGGCCUCUUGCUUGUAUGGAAAGGGUAAAACUGGAUGGUAGAAUCCAGUGUGACUGGGGAAGGGCACUGCUAAAUAAAACCAGGGUCAGACCUCUGAACUGAGUCCUGAAGAGUAGGACGCAAUCGACCACUGAGAAAACGUGGAGGGCUGGCGCUCCAGGAAGCUUAAAGUGUGAGGAGCAGAAAGCAGCUCAGGGGGUGCAGCCAGCACAACUGAGGCCAGUGGAGAGUGGCGGGAGGGCAUCGGGCCACCCUGUGCGGGGCUUCCUAGGCCACGGUAGAGUUUAGAUUUCAUUUGUGGUGUAUCAGGAAGCCAAUGGAGGGUUUUAACCUGGGCACCGACAUUGCUAGGUGGAGAAUGGGACUUUAUGGGAGAAAACAGCAAAGAUGGCCCAGUUAUCCAGGGAGAGAUGGUGGUGGCUUGGACUAGAGCUGGGAGCAGUGAAGAUGAUGGAUUUCAGAUUCAGGUGGUGAAGCCCCCAGAGAACAUGGUGAUGGGAGGUGCGGGAUUAGGAGUCCCAGGUAAAUCCUGAGUUUUGUUUGGGACAGGACAAAAUCUGCAGUUUUAAGCUUAGAAUGCCAACCAGAUAGAUAUUUUAAGAUGAAAAAAGCUAAACAGGCAUGGUUGCUCAUGCCUAUGAUUCCAGGGCUUUGGAAGGCUGAGGUGGGAGGAUACUUGAGCCCAGGAGUUCAAGGUUACGGUGAGCUAUGAUAGCACCACUGCACUCCAGCCUGGGAGACAGAGCUGUCGCCCCAUCUCUAAAAAUAAAAAAAUAUGUAUUAAGAAAACAAAGCUAAAAGAAAAAUGAAGUUCACUUACUAGUGAGAGAGAGUGGCCUAAAAAAAACCUUUGGUAUUUGAAGUCCCUUGGGGAAGGGACUGUGUCUAAGAGGAUGCCUAGAGUUCAUGUCAGGAAAAUGGCUACACAGCUUAGGAGGAAUUCAGACGCUACAGUCGGCUCUAGUUAUGAAGAGGGAAGAGCUAAUGUGUUUACACAAGAUGUUGCACUAAUACCUCCUGGUCAGGAGCCUGAUAUGAUCACAAUUUUCACUAGUAGCUUCCUAACCUCCGCCACUCAAGUGCUGCUACUCUUGUGAUCAAAGUGCAAUGACAUAUUAGUCACUGUGUGCCAGGCUCUGUGCUGAGCAUUUUACAUGUGUUAGCUGAUAAGCUUUGAGGUGAAUCUUCUUAUCCUCAUUUUAUGGAGGAGUAAGGUGAACAAGGUGGGCUGACCCUGGAGCCCACGCACUUGAUCCUGCCACAACCUCAGGAAAACUUCCCCAGAGCCCAAAGGGGAACUCUCCCUCCUGCACUUGGUCAGGGCUGUUGGCUUUCUGUCCUCUGGAGCACAGACGUUCAUGCCUGCGUCCACCUCCCUCACCAUAACUAAGGACUUAAAGAUGGAGGAAGCUAUGAGCAAUACAGGCAGUUUCAGCGUCGAAAGUGGCCAGAAA